CUGGUAAAAUCGCAUCAAAAUAGCUUCUUUUACAUAUAUCCAAACCCUAGCCGGAUCCGCCGCCCUAGGAAGGAGCUCGGCUCUCGGCGGCGAGCACGGCAACAGCCUGCUCCGGCGGAUCUGGCGGCGCCGUCGCAGAGGCGAAGGACAGCGGCGCGCCAGAGGCGGAGGGCCCGUCGGCCAGGCCGGCAGCGAGGCGGUGGCGGAAGCCGCGGAGGCAGGCCGGCGUGGAUGGGGUCGGUGGAGGUGGCGGCGACCUGGUACGACAGCGGGAGGGAGUCAAUGCGAGGGGGUUCAGGCAAGGGAGUCAAUGCGAGGGAGUUCAGGCGAGGCUGGCGGCGUGGCUCGCACCGCGGCGGCUCCUCUCCUCCGGCGGCAAGGUGCUCGGCGAGGAGGAGAAGGCUGCCAAGAACAUGUACAUCAAGGUAUAUCCACCCCACUCGCUUCCCUAAUCUUCCUUCCCCCAAUCCACCCUACUCGCUUUCCUAAUCUUCCUUCCCCCUCGUGAUUGUUGCUGUUCUUGCUGCGGUAGAUGGGCUACAGAUGCAACUAGAGAUGUAUUGCUUGAGCUCUUCAUAAUUCAUCAACACUUCAUGACUGUUGAAACUGAAUUGCAUCUAUACGUUAUAAGUACUACUCCUAACCUGUAGAAUUAUCAAUCUAUGGCAAUCAACCUCAAUGAAUUAUCAUCUGACCUGCAAGCAGAAUGAGAAACCAAUAUAAUAUCAUAUAGCUGUAAGACAUGAUCUUUUGAACAAGAGACUUGCAUUAUGUAGUGUUUUAUUUAUCCAUCACUUGAGCAGUUUUCACAAUUCCUAUAUAUCGAAUGGUAAACUCUACUUCAACGUACUUUCAGAAAAUAUGAAAUAUAUAAAUGUUAACAGUAAGAUGAAAUCAAAAGUACUAAUCUCCAAUAGUCCAUAUAUAUCUGGAUCAUAUCCACCUGAAAUAAAAAAUUACCACUUUUUUAUGUACUGCAAUUUGUAAUUAGCAAUUAAACAUGUGCAUGCUGCAAAAAUAUUCUACAAAAACAGGACUAGCCAUCUUUCCUUUUCCUUUUAACAAACAGUAAUAGCAAACUAUCAGUCAACAGAGAACAUCUGCAUCAAGGUAUAUUCACCCUACUCGCUUCCCUAAUCUUCCUUCCCCCUCGUGAUUGUUGCUGUUCUUGCUGCGGUAGAUGGGCUACAGAUGUAACUAGAGAUGUAUUGUUGUGUUGUGUAGAGGUUUUGUAUGUGCUCCAAAUUGAAAUGAGGCUGUUUUUCCUGUGCGAAUUGCUGAGUUUGCUUCAACUUUCAUCCUUCCCAUGGUCACUUUUGGUGAGUUCCUGUGAGUCCCAUGGUCACCUUUUUUUAGAAAGUAAUAAGUGAAAUCCUAUUAUGAAUGUCAAAUCUGAUGACUCCUUUUAUCUUAUUCAUGUAAAAAGGAUUGGUUGCCACCAUAUGUGGUGCUCAGGAAUGUCAAAACUGUAGGGGCAUGUUUCUUCCUAACAUGUGAAGUGGUUUUUUUGCCUAUCUAGCAAACUUGUGGCUGUGCUUUCUCAUGUUAUACUAUGCUAAGCAGUUGCAUUGCAGUUUAAGAUGUCUCAGUUUAUACCCAAUCUUUGGAAAUUUGUGAGCAUGAUGUCAGUCUUUUCCUUUUAAAUUAAGGGAUAACAGGAAGAAACCAGGGCUGGCAGUUCGUUUUGUUUACCAAUUUUUCCACUGUGCAAGUGCAAAAGCAUUUCAGUGUCUUUUCAGAGUUCACGAAAGAACUGGGCUAUUUAUUUGGUAGCAGGACAGGAAAUAGGGUUGUUUUUUACACCUGUAACUGUUACUUUAGUAAGGAAAUUUGAGGGUGCCUCUCCCUCAUGCGUGAAAACCAUUAUUUCCACAGUGAAAAGGGGUAAAAAGGGAUUUACCAUAUCCACAGUGUGCUGUCUGUAAUAAUCUCCAUGUCACAUUGAACGGGCGUGCACACACACCAGUAAAUGUCUACUCAGCUUCCAGGAUUGUGAGCAACUUAAUUUUGCAAGCAACGAAAAUCAGAAACCUAGUGCAUACAAAUUCUAAGAGUCCCCCCUGUACGAUUGAAGAAUAUUUAUUUUCUUAAGUGAUUGCAAACAUAGUACUUCCCAUUACAACUUGUGAUUCAUGCCCUGUAAUGGAACUGAAUUAGCCUCUUUUGGAAGAGGAUGAAUGAUUAAACCAUUUUUUAAUACAUUAUUAUAACUUUUAUUGCUCUUUUGGGUAUGAUAAAUUGUUGUGGUUUCUAAACUUAUUAGGUGAUUUUUUAUCUUGCAGUAUUAAGUGUCAAUUUCAGAUCAUCAUGUAACAUCGGAAUUCAAGUUAUGUAACAGCUUGUGCUAGAAUGAAGGUGGAGAUAACAUGCAGAGGGAGACAGCUCCUCCCGAUCCUGACAUUGCAGCAUGUCCGUGACAUCAGUAACUGCAUGAAUAUUUUUUAUUCAUCUAUUAACUGCUUGAACAGUAGAAGAAACUAGGAUGAUAUGGCAGUUAUUGAUGUUUUAUCUAGCGCAUAUGCAGUGCUGCUAAGCUCACUUGGAAGAUCUUGGUCAUGCGACAUCCGGUGAAAUUUUGGUUACUGUGAUUGUAUUUGGAAUGUCACUAGAUUUGGCUGUUAACUGUGCUGUAAAUUUUGUGUUGUAUUGGAUGUUUGUCGAGUUGUGUUGGUUUGAAUCUGAGAUGGCAUGAGAAAUUGGAUUGAA
Non-coding RNA from Oryza sativa Japonica Group (Japanese rice), 2706 nucleotides. The record is from RefSeq and is a predicted model, not a curated record. Lineage: Eukaryota; Viridiplantae; Streptophyta; Magnoliopsida; Poales; Poaceae.